UGAAGGAGCCUGGAUUCUCACCGACU
Molecule: non-coding RNA, 26 nt
Filed under: Mus musculus (house mouse)
Lineage: Eukaryota; Metazoa; Chordata; Mammalia; Rodentia; Muridae
Source: RNAcentral